UCCAGUGUUAUUAUCAUGAUGUACUGAUUGCAAACAACAGUUUUGUGGACUCUCAUUUAAAAAGUCUUGGUUCAAAGUCAAUUCAGAAUGAAGAUAAUUCUUGUGGUGACACUCAUUGGAAAGCUGCAAAAAUGAUCUCCAAAUCAAAGAAAAACCAAGACGAGACUGGACUUGAAGUUGCUGGAUGCAGGCAUUCGAUUGCUCAAGCUACUUUGAACUUUUCAGAGGAGAAAUUUAUGUCGAUGCUCACUACUUGCAUAUGAAUUUUUUACAACCACAUAAAGUUAAAUAUAUGUGGGAAGAUAUUAUAUGCAAAUAUUGGCCGUGGGCUCUACGUGUUACAUCGGAAGAAAAUCAAAAUGCUUUAAGAAAUACUGCACCAGCACUGUCUAUAAUGCAUGGGAAAUCACACAGUUGGUCAUGUCAGGUUAUUUGGAGCGGAAGAUGGCAAAGUGGUGCGGCAGCAACUGCUGGCGAAGAAGUUGAGCAAAUAAAUUCGUAUUUGUCAAGACUUGGCUCGACUACUAAAAAUAUGACGGCCUCCGACCGAAAGGCAACUUUCAUCUCCCAAGGAUGAUUUUGUAAAGUUAAGAAGCGAACUUAAUGUCCAGGACUCAGACUUGGACGACUCGAUAAUGCUGUGGAAAGAAGAAGUUCAACAAUUUGCAAGAGAACAACAAAUUGGAGUUUCUUCGUUGAAAGGUGCCGCCGAAGAGUUCUUCCUUUGCAUCAAACUGUUGAAAAUGCUCAACAUUUGGAGAAUUUUGUAAAAGCUAACGAUGGUCAAACGCAGACAUUAUUGGGUGAUAGGCGUUUCGUUCAUGACGCUCAAAACUAAGUGAAACAACUUGAACAAAAUGCAACAAGAUUGCUGGAAUUGAAAAGACAGCUUUUAGAUGGACAUGUGACAGAGGAGCAGCUUCUUGAGCAAGGAAAGUCGCAGCUGGCAAAAAUCACAGUAGCAAAGCUGCUGAAGAGAU
Long non-coding RNA from Xenia sp. Carnegie-2017, 980 nucleotides. RefSeq lists it as uncharacterized. The transcript is spliced from 5 exons. Lineage: Eukaryota; Metazoa; Cnidaria; Anthozoa; Malacalcyonacea; Xeniidae. The record is from RefSeq and is a predicted model, not a curated record.